UUUCCGUAGGUGAACCUGCGGAAGGAUCAUUAAAAAAUUGGACUCCAUUGGUGAGUUCAUUAAUAAUCCUACCCUUUGUGAAUCUGUUUGUUUGAAUAAUUUUUUUUCCAAAAAAAAUUAUUGAAUGUCUUUCCUUGUUUUGGUGGAGCUUGUAAAGUGAGACCAGGCAGGGGAAUGGCAAACAAUAAUUAUUUUUGAAAAAGACCUUUUUUAAAAUUAAACUUUUUGUAUUCAUUUGUCUAAAAUUAUUUUUAUAAUAUAAAAACAACUUUUGACAAUGGAUCUCUUGGUUCUCGCAACGAUGAAGAACGCAGCAAAAUGCGAUAAGUAGUGUGAAUUGCAGAAUACGUGAAUCAUCGAAUCUUCGAACGCAUAUUGCACUUUUUUAGUUUACUAAAAAAGUAUGUCUGUUUGAGUAUCAGUAAAAUAUUCUCAUAAAAAAUUUAUUUUUUAUGGUUAUGAGUGUUUUACAACGAUAACAAGUUGUUUCACUUUAAAUUCUUUGUUAUCAAGAAAAUCAUUAAAAGCUAAUUUUAAAGAUUUUUUAAAAUUGGAUAAAAUUUUCCCGUAAAAAGGAAUAACCUAAACAAUUUUAAAAAAUUAAAAUUGGUUUGAUUUUUCUUGAUUUAAAAAGGAAAAAAAAGUAAAAAUUAACUUGAUCUCAAAUCAGAUAAGAGUACCCGCUGAACUUAAGCAUAUCAAUAAGCGGAGGAAAAGAAACUAACUAGGAUUCCCUCAGUAACGGCGAGUGAAGCGGGAAGAGCUCAAAUUUGAAAUCUUCAAGGUUUUACCUUGACGAAUUGUAGUUUAAAGAAGUGUUUUCUGUUGGAGUUUUGGUAAAAGUUCUUUGGAAAAGGACAUCAUAGAGGGUGAGAAUCCCGUAUUUGACCAUUAUCUCCAGCUUUGUGAUACACUUUCAAAGAGUCGGAUUGUUUGGGAAUGCAGUCCAAAAUGGGUGGUAAAUUUCAUCUAAAGCUAAAUACUGGCGAGAGACCGAUAGCGAACAAGUACCGUGAGGGCAAGAUGAAAAGAACUUUGAAAAGAGAGUUAAACAGUACGUGAAAUUGUCAAAAGGGAAGCGUUUGACACCAGUGUUGUUUUCUCGAAAAUCAAUUAAAAAAGGCCGGAUUUUGUGUUGUAUUGACUUUAUCAGCUUUCUGCACUUUUUUCUUGUCUUUUUUAAUGCACUUUUCGUUUAACAAGUCAACAUCAAUUUCUUUUGUUGUAAAAGGGUCAUUGGAAGGUGGCUUUCUUUACGGAGAAAGUGUUUAUAGCCUUUGGCCUCUGCAAUCGGAGAGAUUGAGGUCUGCAGCGUAGAUCCUUCGGGGUUAGAUACAUUUGUGCUAAGUUAUAGCCUUUCAUAGACAACUUGUUGACUAUGAUCAGUCAUGUAGCUUACUCGCUUAUGCUAUUU
Molecule: unclassified non-coding RNA, 1414 nt
Filed under: uncultured Neocallimastigales
Lineage: Eukaryota; Fungi; Neocallimastigomycota; Neocallimastigomycetes; Neocallimastigales
Description: partial contains small subunit ribosomal RNA, internal transcribed spacer 1, 5.8S ribosomal RNA, internal transcribed spacer 2, and large subunit ribosomal RNA
Rfam family: Eukaryotic large subunit ribosomal RNA (bases 657-1414)
Source: RNAcentral